CCUACGGGGGGCAGCAGUGGGGAAUAUUGGACAAUGGGCGGAAGCCUGAUCCAGCAACGCCGCGUGAGGGAUGACGGCCUUCGGGUUGUAAACCUCUUUCGGUGGGGACGCGGUACCCACUAAAGAAGCACCGGCCAACUACGUGCCAGCAGCCGCGGUAAUACGUAGGGUGCGAGCGUUGUCCGGAAUUAUUGGGCGUAAAGGGCUCGUAGGCGGUUUGUCGCGUCGGGAGUGAAAACGCCGUGCUUAACACGGCGCUUGCUUUCGAUACGGGCAGACUAGAGGUAUUCAGGGGAGAACGGAAUUCCUGGUGUAGCGGUGAAAUGCGCAGAUAUCAGGAGGAACACCGGUGGCGAAGGCGGUUCUCUGGGAAUGCCUGACGCUGAGGAGCGAAAGUGUGGGGAGCGAACAGGAUUAGAUACCCUUGUAGUC
RNAcentral lists this ribosomal RNA (432 nucleotides) under uncultured bacterium. RNAcentral's name for it is "partial 16S ribosomal RNA". It matches the Rfam family "Bacterial small subunit ribosomal RNA", at positions 338 to 795 of the family's 1533-position model. The record is from RNAcentral.